AAUGUAGCAAUACAUGGCGAACUGCUCAGUAACACGUGGACAACCUACCCUUAGGUCAGGGAUAACCCCGGGAAACUGGGAAUAUACCUGAUAUGGCGCGAAGGCUGGAAUGCAUCGCGCAAGAAAGCUCCGGUGCCUAAGGAUGGGUCUGCGGCCUAUCAGGGUAGUAGUGGGUGUAACGUACCUACUAGCCUACGACGGGUACGGGUUGUGAGAGCAAGAGCCCGGAGAUGGAUUCUGAGACACGAAUCCAGGCCCUACGGGGUGCAGCAGGCGCGAAAACUUUACAAUGCCGGAAACGGCGAUAAGGGAACCUCGAGUGCCAGGAUACAAUCCUGGCUGCCGUAAUGCCUAAAAAGCAUUUCAUAGCGAGGGCCGGGCAAGACCGGUGCCAGCCGCCGCGGUAACACCGGCGGCUCGAGUGGUAACCGUUAUUAUUGGGUCUAAAGGGUCUGUAGCCGGCUGGAUAAGUCUCUUGGGAAAUCCGGCAGCUCAACUGUCGGGCUUUCAGGAGAUACUGUCCGGCUCGAGACCGGGAGAGGUGAGAGGUACUUCAGGGGUAGGGGUGAAAUCUUGUAAUCCUUGAAGGACCACCAGUGGCGAAGGCGUCUCACCAGAACGGAUCUGACGGCAAGGGACGAAAGCUAGGGGCACGAACCGGAUUAGAUACCCGGGUAGUCCUAGCCGUAAACGAUACUCGCUAGGUGUCGGCCACGGUGCGACCGUGGUCGGUGCCGUAGGGAAGCCGUGAAGCGAGCCAUCUGGGAAGUACGGCCGCAAGGCUGAAACUUAAAGGAAUUGGCGGGGGGAGCACUACAACGGGUGGAGCUUGCGGUUUAAUUGGAUUCAACGCCGGGAAGG
This 861-nucleotide ribosomal RNA is filed under the name uncultured archaeon. RNAcentral's name for it is "bacterial SSU rRNA". It matches the Rfam family "Archaeal small subunit ribosomal RNA", at positions 61 to 926 of the family's 1478-position model. The record is from RNAcentral.